RNAcentral lists this ribosomal RNA (48 nucleotides) under Tricholoma terreum. Its description in RNAcentral is "partial 18S ribosomal RNA". The record is from RNAcentral. Lineage: Eukaryota; Fungi; Basidiomycota; Agaricomycetes; Agaricales; Tricholomataceae.
GUAAAAAUCGAACAGGUUUCCGAAGGUGACCCGGGGGAAGGAUCAUUA